This 424-nucleotide ribosomal RNA is filed under the name uncultured bacterium. Its description in RNAcentral is "bacterial SSU rRNA". It matches the Rfam family "Bacterial small subunit ribosomal RNA", at positions 355 to 776 of the family's 1533-position model. The record is from RNAcentral.
UAAGGAAUAUUGGGCAAUGGACGCAAGUCUGACCCAGCCAUGCCGCGUGCAGGAUGACGGCCCUAUGGGUUGUAAACUGCUUUUGUACGGGAAAAAACCCCCGAUCGUGAUCGGGGUUGAUGGUACCGUAAGAAUAAGGAUCGGCUAACUCCGUGCCAGCAGCCGCGGUAAUACGGAGGAUCCAAGCGUUAUCCGGAUUUAUUGGGUUUAAAGGGUGCGAAGGCGGAAUUUCUAGUCAGUGGUGAAAUCUUACGGCUCAACUGUAAAACUGCCAUUGAUACUGUUAUUCUUGAGUAUAUUUGAAGUGGCUGGAAUGUAUCAUGUAGCGGUGAAAUGCUUAGAUAUGAUACAGAACACCGAUUGCGAAGGCAGGUCACUAAACUAUAACUGACGCUCAUGCACGAAAGCGUGGGGAUCAAACAGG